CUAUAUCAGUUAGAAUAAGUAUGUUUGUUGGUAAGCUGAAGUUUCAGUAGGAUUAAUUCUAUUGUUGAUAAUCCAAUGUACAUGUAUAUACAGUAAAAACCCUUUAUUUUGCCACCCCUUAUACCGCCAAACACGCUUAUCAUCAUGAAUUUAUUAAUUUAUUAUUUAACGGAUUUUCUCCCAUGCUAAUAUUAUGACUCAACAGAAUUUAUCAUUCUGUCAAGCUACCGUGACAUGUUUACUCCUAACCUCAAAAAUGUUUACCUGUAAUAUGUCAGGAAAGCGGGGAUAUAAAAUCCAUGAAUUUGCUUGUUGAAUCCUAAGAUUAUGAAGAACAUUCUUGUCAUCCGAUGAUCUGGUAUUUGCUGGACUAUCACAGUCUCCUGAGGAUUGCCAUGCCAAAGGCCAUGUUGUUGUAUAUUUCAAAAGCCAAGAUGAGACUUCCUGAGUCCAGAGAACCUUGAGAGUGUCCGAGAUUUCUUCUCCAACAACAGUGGCCCAGGUCUCCUCAUUUCCAAUAGCAGCUUUCUGAGGAAUAUCCACUGUACACUGGUCUUUGAAGGCCAGUGUGGGAAGGUGGGAUUAUGUUGGCAGUUAGGCAUAUCUCAUCUUCCUCAUUCAACUUGUAAUGACUACUGACAUAUUGGCAGGCAUUACACUGAAGUCUCUAACCAACCCCAUCCCCAUUGCUUUGAACUUUGGGAAUCAAACUUCAGAUAUCCUUUGCAGUCUUGGUGCUCCAGAAUGAUAUUGUUCCAUAGUCUUUCAACAUCAAUUGGCCGUAAUAACUUGUAUGUGUAGUUGUCAGGAUCUCGUUAAGUUGUCACAAUGUAGGUGUCAAAGACAGUCUGGGCAGGCUGGAGUUUCAGGAUAUUCAUAUCACUUUGAAUCCCAGCAGCUCAAAUGUACACAUUUCACCAUUAUGAUAAAUCUUGAGUCAAACACAUCUUGGGUUAAUCUGUUCAAAAGCACUGCAUAACGUACUUAAUUGAGUACUACAAUUUUAUAACUCACUACCUGAAAAUCAUAUGAUCAUGAAUCAUAGAAUUAUAUAUUUGAUACUUGUGUGCUAACUAUGAAAUAAUUCUGUUAAAAACAGUGCUUUCUGAAUGAAUAUUUGUUUGUAUUUUCAAGUAAAAUCAUGCAGUCAUAUGGAGUUUGGAACUUCACUCUCAGACCAAGGGGGAUAACUCCAUUUUGAAUGAGAUCAUGGACCACAGUCAUCACCGAAACUUCACAACUUUAUUUGGAAUCAUCUUUACUUUUAAGAAUACAGAUUUAAAUUAAAGAGAGACUUCAGUAUGGAUAUACUUGACAUUGGAGAAGCUGAUGAUGAUGUUUGUCUAACUCCAGCUCCAUUGGAACCAGACACGUAUACUUUAGAGGCAAAAAUCAACAGUAGAGCAAGCUAAGGUGAUGUCACUAGUGAUCUCAUCUCAUGGACUGUCACUGUGGCCCAGGACCAGGUGAUGUCACUAGUGAUCUCAUCUCACGGACUGUCACUGUGGCCCAGGACCAGGUGAUGUCACUAGUGAUCUCAUCUCACAGACUGUCACUGUGGCACAGGACCAGGUGAUGUCACUAGUGAUCUCAUCUCACGGACUGUCACUGUGGCCCAGUCUGUGACUAGUGAUGUCAUCCCGCGGACUGUCACUGUGACCCAGGACCAGGUGAUGUCACUAGUGAUCUCAUCUCACGGACUGUCACUGUGGCCCAGUCUGUGACUAGUGAUCUAAUCUCACGGACUGUCAUUGUGGCCCAGGACCAGAUGUCACUAGUGAUCUCAUCUCACGGACUGUUACUGUGGCCCAGGACCAGGUGAUGUCAUUAGUGAUGUCAUCCCGCGGACUGUCACUGUGGCCCAGUCUGUCACCAGUGAUCUCAUCUCAUGGACUGUCACUGUGGCCCAGUCUGUCACUAGUGAUCCCAUCUCACGGACUGUCACUGUGGCCCAGUCUGUGACUAGUGAUCUCAUCUCAUGGACUGUCACUGUGGCCCAGGACCAGGUGAUGU
This is a long non-coding RNA of Pecten maximus, 2013 nucleotides long. RefSeq lists it as uncharacterized. Lineage: Eukaryota; Metazoa; Mollusca; Bivalvia; Pectinida; Pectinidae. The transcript is spliced from 4 exons. The record is from RefSeq and is a predicted model, not a curated record.